UAUUGCACAAUGGGGGGAACCCUGCUGCAGCGACGCCGCGUGGGCGAUGGAGUGCUUCGGUANGUAAAGCUCUAGCAGCAGGGAANNAANNNANGGUACCUGACUAAGAAGCCCCUGUUAAAUACGUGCCNNNANCCGCGGUAAUACGUAUGGGGCAAGCGUUAUCCGGAUUUACUGGGUGUAAAGGGAGCGUAGGCGGCCUGGCAAGCCUGAUGGGAAAUACCGGGGCCCAACCCCGGGGCUGCAUUGGGAACUGCCAGGCUGGAGUGCCGGAGAGGCAGGCGGAAUUCCUAGUGUAGCGGUGAAAUGCGUAGAUAUUAGGAGGAACACCAGUGGCGAAGGCGGCCUGCUGGACGGUGACUGACGCUGAGGCUCGAAAGCGUGGGGAGCAAACAGG
RNAcentral lists this ribosomal RNA (397 nucleotides) under uncultured bacterium. RNAcentral's name for it is "partial 16S ribosomal RNA". It matches the Rfam family "Bacterial small subunit ribosomal RNA", at positions 362 to 776 of the family's 1533-position model. The record is from RNAcentral.